Molecule: long non-coding RNA, 1575 nt
Filed under: Nicotiana tabacum (common tobacco)
Lineage: Eukaryota; Viridiplantae; Streptophyta; Magnoliopsida; Solanales; Solanaceae
Description: long non-coding RNA (NTAB_LNC011384)
Source: RNAcentral
AACACCAAAAACUCAUCUGAUCCGCUGUUUUACACAAAAAGGAGCCCCAUCUUGAACUUUUCUUUCUUCGCGAUUAAAACAAAAGAAAACAAAAGAAGAGAUCUCUCUUCAACACAAAAUCGAGCCAUACUCCAACUCCAAUUCCUAUCUUAAGAAUUAUUAAGAAUUGUGGACGAAAGGAAUGAGAGUGAGAGCUUGGGACGAUUUUUAGUCCAAAAUUCGAAAACAGAGAAGAAAGCAUAAUGACCGCAAAAAAUGACUUUUGGGUUCAGGCGUGGCUGAGAUGCAGUGGAGAUUGAGUUUGUUUUUUGAGGUUCCGAUCCCGGUCCAAGAUCUGAUCCGAAUUUCUAUUUGUUAAAGAUCCGUUGAGGUCUGUUUCUACCUCUUUUCAUUAAUUAAUUCAAGAAUUCUUGGUGUUCUACCUUAGUUCUUUUGGUUUGAAUGAAUUUGUAUUCUUGAAAUUUUGAAUAUUCAGAUUAAAGCUAUUAAGAUGGAAUAAUUUGCUUUCUCUGUGUUUCUAAAUGGAACAAUUUGUUAUUCAGAUGAAAUCAAUUAAAUAAAUGUAAUCUUGAGUUGUUGAAGGAUUUUUUGGUAUUCUGUUAUGUUGGAGCAGUUCGAUUUUGAAACAGUUUGAGGUUGAAAUGAAAUUUGGUUAUAUGAAUUAAUGGAAAAUCACUUGAAACAUGUUUCAACACUGAGAGUAUGGCUUGGUUAUCAAAUGGACUGAGUUAGGUUCAUUUAUAUUUGGAAGCUUUCAGUUUAGAACUUGCUACUUGCAUAAAAUUUGUUGAGUACUUCUGCUAGUUUAGAAAUAAACUAUGACAGUUGUUAGGGGUGUAUAAUGAUCGCAUAUUCUGUAGAUUUUGCUGAUGAAUAUCCCAUCACAAAAAGAUUUGGCUGAUGAUUAUUUGCACUGAGAGAUAUGUAUUCAUAUCCUUGUGCAUUCUGGCACUUAUUCAUGGAUGCCCAUCGGAUUUAAUAACUUAACAAGCACUAACAUGUUUUCUUUGUUUGGUUGCCUCGGUAGAUGUUGUUAAAUCAGGAUGUUUUUCCUAGACUGCACUUGAUAAAAUUGGUGUUUAUGCAUAUUAAUAUGUCCACAUUGUAGAAUAAAAUAAUACGUGAUCUUAAAAAAAAUAUCCUUUGUGUUAUUAAAAUGGCCCAUUCGGUUAGCCAAAUCAUUUGUGGCAUUAAUUUCAUUGUUUUUAGAAAGAUGUUGAAUUAGUCUCGGAAGUAAUCAUAAAAACUAAUUUUCCAGGUGAACUUAAAAGCUGGUUUCUAUCUAGAAGGAUGUUGAUUAUUCAUACGAAGAUGAUCAAUUUUCUGAUUUAUGUGCUUUUGUUGAGACAUGAAGCUUUUAAGAAAUUUUUUGUCAUAAUUUUCUUUGAGGAAACUUUAUCAGAAAUGGGUUGAAGAUUCACAAUUUGAGUGAAACUCAAAAGACGCAUAAGUUAGUGGUAGUGCAUCUAUUCAGUUUAAUAAUUUUGAAAUUUUCUAGCAAAAAUAAUUUUGUCUUUUGUUUCUUUACCACUGUUUGACAUAUGCUUAGCUAGUAAGUAAUUGAAUAAGUUUAAG